RNAcentral lists this ribosomal RNA (276 nucleotides) under uncultured bacterium. RNAcentral's name for it is "partial 16S ribosomal RNA". It matches the Rfam family "Bacterial small subunit ribosomal RNA", at positions 521 to 796 of the family's 1533-position model. The record is from RNAcentral.
UAAGACAGAGGGGGCAAGCGUUGCUCGGAAUCACUGGGCGUAAAGGGCGCGUAGGCGGGAUGGCAAGUCGGUCGUGAAAUCCCUCGGCUCAACCGAGGAACGUCGGCCGAUACUGCCGUUCUUGAGGGAUGCAGAGGAGACUGGAAUUCCCGGUGUAGCGGUGAAAUGUGUAGAGAUCGGGAGGAACACCGGUGGCGAAGGCGGGUCUCUGGGCAUUUCCUGACGCUGAGGCGCGAAAGCGUGGGGAGCAAACGGGAUUAGAUACCCCGGUAGUCC